Molecule: ribosomal RNA, 429 nt
Filed under: Pseudomonadota bacterium
Lineage: Bacteria; Pseudomonadati; Pseudomonadota
Description: Proteobacteria bacterium partial 16S ribosomal RNA
Rfam family: Bacterial small subunit ribosomal RNA
Source: RNAcentral
UGGGGAAUAUUGGACAAUGGGCGAAAGCCUGAUCCAGCCAUGCCGCGUGUGUGAAGUAGGUCUUCGGAUUGUAAAGCACUUUAAGUUGGGAGGAAGGGCAGUAAGCGAAUACCUUGCUGUUUUGACGUUACCGACAGAAUAAGCACCGGCUAACUCUGUGCCAGCAGCCGCGGUACUACAGAGGGUGCAAGCGUUACUCGGAAUUACUGGGCGUAAAGCGCGCGUAGGUGGUUCGUUAAGUUGAAUGUGAAAGCCUCGGGCUCAACCUGGGAACUGCAUCAAAGACUGGCGAGCUAGAGUAGGGCAGAGGGUGGUGGAAUUUCCUGUGUAGCGGUGAAAUGCGUAGAUAGAGGAAGGAACACCAGAGGCGAAGGCGACCACCUGGGCUCAUACUGACACUGAGAUGCGAAAGCGUGGGGAGCAAACAGU